CGCGCAGGCGGUGAUUUAAGCGGGAUGUGAAAGGCUACGGCUCAACCGUAGACAUGCACCCUGAACUGGGUCACUUGAGUAUUGGAGAGGCAGGCAGAAUUCCUGGUGUAGCGGUGAAAUGCGUAGAUAUCAGGAGGAAUACCGGAGGCGAAGGCGGCCUGCUGGACAAAUACUGACGCUGAGGCGCGAAAGCGUGGGAGCAAACA
RNAcentral lists this ribosomal RNA (206 nucleotides) under uncultured bacterium. RNAcentral describes it as "partial 16S ribosomal RNA". It matches the Rfam family "Bacterial small subunit ribosomal RNA", at positions 568 to 774 of the family's 1533-position model. The record is from RNAcentral.